AGCAAGCCCAAAUGGCCAAAAUAGAUGGAACUCUUACACACUUGGGCCUUUAAAGAGAUGAUCUGAUGAGAGGACAGAGAGCCAUGAUCCCAAAAGAUCAGGUCGGAAGCUGCUGAAAUGACAACCUCUGCCCUGGCAGAGUAAACAUAACCUCCCGUGGCCCUGAAGGUAUGAACAUAGUGACAAUACUCAGACGGGCUGUCACAUUCCCAUCGUGUCUGACGGCGCAAAGUGUGUCAAGAAAACAUUCCCCAUGUACCAUCACAACACCAGCAGCCGCCUGUUGUCUCUGGUUGUCUUCAUGCUGUUGACUCUUAAAUUCAGCCUGUCACCUGCGGCCUCAGCAAAAAUGUACAGUUUUUUUUUUUUUUUUUUUAAAUUGUCCAAUGUUGGUGAGUGUGUGUCCACAGCAGCAUCACAUUCCUGUUUUUGACUGACAGAAGAACCUGAGGGGGUCUUCUACUGCAGUGCAGAAGGUAACCACACGAGAUAAGAAGACGACAAAACAACAAGAGAAAGGCGCAGACAAGGAAGAAUAAUUAAAUACAUUUAAAGCACAAAAGAAUGAUGACAGUUAGAAUAAAUAACAAUAUAAUGGUGAAAUAUGAAAAGGAAAGGUAUGGCACCUUCAUUGAUGCAU
Molecule: long non-coding RNA, 640 nt
Organism: Solea solea (common sole)
Lineage: Eukaryota; Metazoa; Chordata; Actinopteri; Pleuronectiformes; Soleidae
Exons: 4
Source: RefSeq, a predicted model, not a curated record